Long non-coding RNA from Oreochromis aureus, 524 nucleotides. RefSeq lists it as uncharacterized. Lineage: Eukaryota; Metazoa; Chordata; Actinopteri; Cichliformes; Cichlidae. The record is from RefSeq and is a predicted model, not a curated record. The transcript is spliced from 3 exons.
GACCUCUCUGAUUGGCCGUGGUCCAGUUGAAAGUGCAGUUGGAAGAGAGAGAGCACUGUCCAAGUUGGGGAAUAAAAAGCCAGAGGAAUGGGACAACAUUUGGACGCUGUCAUGUUUGGCCUGAGAACCAAGUGGACAGCAGUGUGGAGGACGUUUUGUCUGUUGAAGAGACAACAGAGGAAAUUCUGAAGCUUGAUGAAGUGCUUCAGACUGCUUUAUCAAAUAGCAAAACAACACAAGCAAAAUAUCAUAAAAAAACAAAAGGCAGACCUAUUCCAAAUUUUCAAAUGGACAUGAAAGUGUGGAGGCUCAACAUGAGGAGCCAGCAGAGGAAAGUGGACAAGUUAGAUCCAAAUUACCUUGGCCACUAUAUGAUUAUUUGUAACUCUAAACUCUAGUACUUCAACAUUUGCUUGAAUUUUAAUGUUGUCUUUUCAAGGUUUGAAAAGUGCUUGAAUUUCAGAUGUGGUGCUUAAACGUGCUUGAAAGUGUAACUGUAUUUCAUUCACCACAAAUAAUUAUGA